This 468-nucleotide ribosomal RNA is filed under the name uncultured bacterium. Its description in RNAcentral is "partial 16S ribosomal RNA". It matches the Rfam family "Bacterial small subunit ribosomal RNA", at positions 28 to 507 of the family's 1533-position model. The record is from RNAcentral.
GACGAACGCUGGCGGCGUGCUUAACACAUGCAAGUCGAACGGUAAGGCCCUUCUUUUGUGGGACGCUCGAGUAGCGAACGGGUAAGUAACACGUGAGUAGCCCACCCCUUACUUUUGAAUCACUUCAGGUAACUGUGGCUCAUACCGGAUGGUCGCUCCUGCUGCUUGGUGGUGGUUGGAUCGUUUCGGCGUUGGGGGAUGGACUCGCGGCUUAUCUGCUGGUUGGUGGGGUGCUGGCUUACCAAGGCUUGGACGGGUAGCCGGCCUGGGUGGGUGACCGGCAAAAUGGGGACUGAGAAAGGGCCAAGACUCCUAGGGGGGGCAGAAGUGGGGAAUAUUGCAAAAGGGGCGGAAGCCUGAGGCAGCAAGGCGGGGUGCGGGAGGACGGCCUUCGGUUGUAAAACGGCUUCCGCCUGUGACGAAGUGUGAGUGACGGUAAUGGGUGAAGAAGCACCGGCUAACUACGUG